RNAcentral lists this long non-coding RNA (1230 nucleotides) under Gadus morhua (Atlantic cod). RNAcentral's name for it is "lncRNA (ENSGMOG00000032429.1)". The record is from RNAcentral. Lineage: Eukaryota; Metazoa; Chordata; Actinopteri; Gadiformes; Gadidae.
AUGGUGAUGAGGCGUUUCCUCUCCUCGGAGCGACCGCAUUCCAGUGAGGAACAGGCAGACACAGGGAGACAGAGGGAGGAGAGGGAGGGAGGGAGGGAGGGAGGGGGGGGGAGACAGAGAGAGGGCGGGGCCGCAGACAGUGCAACGUGUCGCUGCUGCUUCAGAGAAAGGAAGAACAUAUGCCAAAGAAACGCUGCCCCUCACUUACUCUCCCUCCGUCUCUCUCUCUGUCUCUCCCCCUCUCCCCCUGUCUCUCUCGCUGUCUCUCCCCCUGUCUCUCCCUCCGUCUCUCUCUCUGUCUCUCCCCCUCUCUCCCUCUGUCUCUCCCCCUGUCUCUCUCGCUGUCUCUCCCCCUGUCUCUCUCGCUGUCUCACCCCCUGUCUCUCUCUCAGUCUCUCCCCCUCUCUCCCUCUGUCUCUCCCUCUGUCUCUCUCUCUCCCUCUGUGUGUGUGUGUGUGUGUGUGUGUGUGUGUGUGUGUGUGUGUGUGUGUGUGUGUGUGUGUGUGUGUGUGUGUGUGUGUCUCUCUCUCUCUCUCUCUCUCUCUCUCCCUCUCCCUCUCUCCCUCUGUCUCUCCCCCUGUCUCUCUCUCUGUCUCUCCCCCUGUCUCUCUCUCUCUCUCUCUCUCUCUCUCUCUCUCUCUCUCUCUCUCUCUCUCUCUCUCUCUCUCUCUCUCUCUCUCUCUCUCUCUCUCCGCCUGUCUCUCUCUCCCCCUGUCUCUCCCUCCCUUUGUCUCUCCCCCUGUCGCUCUCUCUCUCUGUCUCUCCCCCUGUCUCUCCCUCUCUCUCUCUCUCUCUCUCUCUCUCUCUCUCUCUCUCUCUCUCUCUCUCUCUCUCUCUCUCUCUCUCUCUCCCCCUCUCUCAUUCUCUCUCUCUCCCCCUAUCUCUCUCUCUCUCCCCCUCUCUCAUUCUCUCUCUCUCUCUCUCUCUCUCUCUCUCUCUCUCUCUGUCCCUCUCUCUCUCUCUCUCUCUCUCUCUCUCUCUCUCUCUCUCUCUCUCUCUCUCUCUCUCUCUCUCUCUCUCUCUCUCUCUCUCUCUGUCCCCCUCUCUCUCUCUCUCUCUCUCUCUCUCUCUCUCUCUCUCUCUCUCUCUCUCUCUCUCUCUCUCUCUCUGUCCCCCUCUCUCUCUCUCUCUCUCUCUCUCUCUCUCUCUCUCUCUCUCUCUCUCUCUCUCUCUCUCUCUCUCUCUCUCUCUGUCCCUCUCUUCCUACUGGCGGGCCGUCUCUCUCUAUGA